UUGUGGAGGAGGACGCCGAAGGUGGGGCUGAUGACUGGGGUGAAGUCGUACAAGGUAGCCGUACCGGAAGGUGCGGCUGGAUCACCUCCUAACCAGGGAGACAAAAAAUAGAUCAUGAUGUCUGGGUAUUUUACCUAGGCCAUGGUCCUGUCACCUUAGGUCGAUCGGUACCUCUGAAUAAAAGCUAAUAAUUUUGGUUUAUCAAAGUUUUUGUUUUUAUUUUCAGUUCCUAAACUUGUCUAGGUCACACCCAGCAAAGGUGACUCCUGGGCCAUUAGCUCAGGUGGUUAGAGCGCACCCCUGAUAAGGGUGAGGUCCCUGGUUCAAGUCCAGGAUGGCCCAUUCGGUGUUGGGGGUAUAGCUCAGUUGGUAGAGCGCCUGCUUUGCAAGCAGGAUGUCAGCGGUUCGAGUCCGCUUACCUCCACUGAUCGACCUCCUGAUAGCGAAAUCAAGGGAGAUCUACUUUUAAAGUGUGAUUUAGACUAUGUUUAUCUGAUUUAGAACCUAGCUUCUUAUCAUUCCAUCCUUCUAUAAAAAAUGGAUGGUUGGCAGGACGCUGGGCUCGCUUUAAUUCUAGUAAUUAUAGCUAAGUUCAGUAGAACCUUGACAACUGCAUAGGAAAGUCUGAAAAGAAUAAAGCAUCUCAUGGAUGCAUUAUUCUUCCUUAAAUCAAAAAAAACCAAUGAUUUUCUUUGGUUUUAUUUUAAUUAUAGGAUGAAUAAUGUUUAAUUCUUGAGCAAAAGAUAAGCUAGAUUACUUUAAUUAAUUUUAAGUAAUUUAUUGGGUCAAGCUACAA
This 796-nucleotide unclassified non-coding RNA is filed under the name uncultured Prochlorococcus sp. Its description in RNAcentral is "partial 16S-23S ribosomal RNA intergenic spacer; may also contain 16S ribosomal RNA and 23S ribosomal RNA". The stretch from base 352 to 424 matches the Rfam family "tRNA". The record is from RNAcentral. Lineage: Bacteria; Bacillati; Cyanobacteriota; Cyanophyceae; Synechococcales; Prochlorococcaceae.